RNAcentral lists this ribosomal RNA (470 nucleotides) under uncultured bacterium. RNAcentral's name for it is "bacterial SSU rRNA". It matches the Rfam family "Bacterial small subunit ribosomal RNA", at positions 30 to 492 of the family's 1533-position model. The record is from RNAcentral.
AUUGAACGCUGGCGGCAGGCUUAACACAUGCAAGUCGAGCGGAGCGAGGGUGCUUGCACCUUAGCUUAGCGGCGGACGGGUGAGUAAUGCUUAGGAAUCUGCCUAUUAGUGGGGGACAACAUUCCGAAAGGAAUGCUAAUACCGCAUACGCCCUACGGGGAAAGCAGGGGAUCUUCGGACCUUGCGCUAAUAGAUGAGCCUAAGUCAGAUUAGCUAGUUGGUGGGGUAAAGGCCUACCAAGGCGACGAUCUGUAGCGGGUCUGAGAGGAUGAUCCGCCACACUGGGACUGAGACACGGCCCAGACUCCUACGGGAGGCAGCAGUGGGGAAUAUUGGACAAAUGGGGCGCAAGCCUGAUCCAGCCAUGCCGCGUGUGUGAAGAAGGCCUUUGGUUGUAAAGCACUUUAAGCGAGGAGGAGGCUACUUGGAUUAAUACUCUAGGAUAGUGGACGUUACUCGCAGAAUAAGAC